UCAUUUACCAUCACAGAUGCAUUAUUCAUGGAUAGAACACUUACCAGUUCCCUAAAGAUUUCCUGAACCAACCUGGGUGAAUGUGACUCUCCUCCUUUGGUUCCUUUGGCAUCCCUAUAUCUUAGCUUUCUUUCCUAAACAUCUCUUGUGAGGGGGAGAUCUGUCUCCUGUGACAUCUCUACAAUACAAGCACACACUAAGCAUUCUCUGAUACAUUUUGUGAGCACUUCUCUGCAGCUAGAACAAAAGGAGAAGUCUUAAUAUGCUUCCCCACAGGGAAAGAUCAGGAACUGAAUCAGGGUGGGGGUGGGGUACAGAGCCAUACUGAUAUGAGAGCAGCAUAGUUUUGGACGGACUUGUCACUACAUCUACCUGUCAGGUAAAUGAUUCAGGAAACUGGCACCCUUGGCCAGACUCUAUUUCUCUCUUUUUCCUCUCUUAGUUUGAUGGCUCUUGGAUCUAUUUGUCACUAUAAGCCUGAAAUGAUCUCCCUGAGGGAAUCACAGGCAGUACGAGAUGCCAUACUUUUCAGCUCUCUGGCUCACUGUUCUCUUUAGAGUAAUGGCUUUUCUUUUUUUUUUUUUUUAAGGUCAGUGGAUCUUUCACAGCGCCUUCUCCCAAAGUUCCACAAAAAAGCCCUGUAGGGACCAUCAAUUAAGGAGAUUCUGUUGACUCUGAGUACAGUAUAGCAAGAUGACUAGACCAGCGUUAGGGAGACCUGAACUUCUCCUAUCAAUCAGCAAAUGCUCUGCCCUGACCCUGGAAGACAUUGUACUCAGGUAGCCAUAGCUAUUGUCAGGCUUCUCUUAAGAUUUAUGUGAGGAGGAGCAGCAAGAUGGUGGAGUGCUAAGCAACCAAGAAAGAACCUCUCCAAGUGUUGCCAUCCAGAUGCUGGAAUAUAGCAAUGCAGGGAAGAUAAGAAGGAGGAAGGCAAGUCCUCCCAGACUCAGGAAGGAGCUGAGGCACAAAUUGAAGCCCACAGAGAGGGUGAAGAGAGAAACUUCAAUGAAGAAGGAGGUAGCUGGCAGCACCCUCUUCCAGAGAUGGGAAACACUGUGUGAGAGAAGCAGUCCAAACCUGCCAACACAUGGGGAGUGCUGGCGACCCCAGAGGCCUCUAUGGAGAGAAGCAGCAGCAGAGGGGAGCAGCAGACGUGAAGGACUGCACUAUCUGUGGGUGAGUGCCAAGUGUGCAGGCAUCACACAUGAGAGAGCAAUUGGCAGGGAACUAUUUUGGAGAGAGAGCCAUAGAGCUCAGAACUCAGAGUGGCUGCUGACUCCAUCCAGGGGGCCCCAGCUGGGCUUAGGUCUGCAGAAGGUGUGCUGAUGGCUGCAAGCACCAAAGGAUACAGGCUUGUUGGCUUUUUGGGAUAAAUCAACAUGGAUCAGGGACGCUGUCUUUAUCUGUUGUUUACCAGUGACAGCAGAAACAAACCUGGAAGUGGACUUUUUUGUUGUUGUUUGUUUUGUGCUCCCCUUUUGUU
This is a long non-coding RNA of Chinchilla lanigera (long-tailed chinchilla), 1483 nucleotides long. RefSeq lists it as uncharacterized. NCBI's taxonomy places the organism in Eukaryota, Metazoa, Chordata, Mammalia, Rodentia, Chinchillidae. The record is from RefSeq and is a predicted model, not a curated record. The transcript is spliced from 3 exons.